GACGAAGGAUGCAAGCGUUAUCCGGAUUCAUUGGGUUUAAAGGGAGCGUAGGCGGAUUGGUAAGUCAGUGGUGAAAUCUGUGGGCUUAACCCACAAACUGCCAUUGAUACUGCUGAUCUAGAGUACAGUUGCCGUUGGCGGAAUAUGACAUGUAGUGGUGAAAUACUUAGAUAUGUCAUAGAACACCGAUUGCGAAGGCAGCUAACGAAGCUGUAACUGACGCUGAGGCUCGAAAGUGCGGGGAGCAAACAGG
Molecule: ribosomal RNA, 253 nt
Filed under: uncultured bacterium
Lineage: Bacteria
Description: partial 16S ribosomal RNA
Rfam family: Bacterial small subunit ribosomal RNA
Source: RNAcentral